RNAcentral lists this long non-coding RNA (1635 nucleotides) under Anas platyrhynchos platyrhynchos (common mallard). RNAcentral describes it as "lncRNA (ENSAPLG00000026357.1)". The record is from RNAcentral. Lineage: Eukaryota; Metazoa; Chordata; Aves; Anseriformes; Anatidae.
AUCCCGUUCCCACACAGCUCUAGUUGCAGCAACUUUAAGAAAAUGUUAUGAUUGACUUGGUACUCUCUCUCCCUGCAGUACUCUGGAAACAUACUCUGUUUAUGCGUAGGCUAGCAAAAUGCACCCACAGUUUACAGGGGACCUUUCAUCUUAUUCCCUUGGAAAAAAUACAGAAAUUAUAUAUAUAUAUACACACACACACAUAUAUAUAUACACACGCAUAUAAUUUUACUACUCCAGCUUUUUCAACUGUUUAUGUAAUGUAAGAGCUGAGAUUGUGCAACUGUUGUGUCCAACACAUUGAACUUCUCCAUACUAACUAAUAUUUAUUGCAUGGGAUGAAGGAGAACACGCCAAAACACCAAGUUUGACAUGUAAACAUUUUGCUUAGCAAUAAUUUAUUCAUUUAGCUUAAAAGGGCUGAGGCCACAAUGUGAUACUAAUGAUAUUCUAUAAACAAGCUGUAUGAAACAUUGACCUACUAUAAACAAAAUUCAGUUGAUUUAUCAUAGCAGAAUUGAAAAUCAAAUGUCUUAAUACUGAACACCCAUGUACAUCUGGUCUCCAACCCAUCAUUUGUUGCUUUUACGUAUUCUUGCAUUCCAGGUAAAGAAAUUAACAGAAUUCCAUCUGGCAACUUUUCUAUGUACUAAUACUUUUUAAAUAAGCAGAUGUCAUCUUUGACUGUGAUCCUUACCACUACCCCUUUUCGCUUCUGGAAGAAAGAACAUGCAAGAUAUGGCAAAUGAAAACUGCAAGAUACUGCCAGGCAUGAUGGUGUGUUGAACUAUAAACUAUGUAGCACACAUGAAUUUCCACCCUGCACUGCCACAGAAAAUUAUCCUAGAGCAUUUUGGAGAAUACUACUUACAGAGCAGCACCCCUUUCCAAUGUGCUGCCUCUUCAUACACUGACCUCCCCCCCCCCCCCCCCCCAAAAAAAAAAAAACAAAAAACAAAACAAAACAAAAAAAACAUCUGUGUCCUACCAGUAACUUCUAACUCACAUCCCUUCAAUGUCUUCGAACAGGAAGGAGAAAGUGGGAGAAACUCACUGUCACCAACAUCAGCAAGUCAGCCUGGGAGCCAUUCAGACAUUUCUCUGAUGGAGUCCAGUGUGAAAAGAGGAAGAGCAAUCUUUGAGAAGAUGUCAUCAGAAAAUGGGCAGAACAGCAAUGCUGAAGUUGCAGUGGGUGGUCGCAAGCCUGUAAGAGGACUACCAGAAGAGAGCCCUCCCAAGACUGGCAACAUGCUGCUGGACUUCCAGGAGAAUGUCUCCUUGAAGGAAAAAAUGGCUCUGUAUCAGGCUGCUGUGUCCAAGGCAGAGAGCAGCAACUGCUUUGCCAAUGUAAGAUACCAAAGUCUCAUUACCUUCUUAAUUCUAUGUUUGCUUUGUGCAGGGACAGAUUGCCACCAUCUUUAUUUCUACAAGCAAGCUAUCAGAUGGAUCACAGGGUAGAUCAAAAUUUAAAUCUGAAAUUAGGAAACCUACAUAGCAAACAUAGUCAUCCAUCAGUCUCUGUCUCCACCAAAUAAGAUUUUUCAUGCUACAUGCCUUUGGUCUUUUGGACCUUUUGGGUCUUUUUGGACCCUUUAAUUCAUGGAAGUACUCUUCUUUGUAGUCCAUUUUUACCUG